RNAcentral lists this ribosomal RNA (471 nucleotides) under Clostridioides difficile. RNAcentral's name for it is "bacterial LSU rRNA". It matches the Rfam family "Bacterial large subunit ribosomal RNA", at positions 1189 to 1665 of the family's 2925-position model. Lineage: Bacteria; Bacillati; Bacillota; Clostridia; Peptostreptococcales; Peptostreptococcaceae. The record is from RNAcentral.
UACUACCGAAGCUACGGCAUCAGUAAUGAUGGGUAGGGGAGCUUCCCAUACGGGUUGAAGCAUGACCGUAAGGACAUGUGGACAGUAUGGGAGUGAGAAUGUUGGCAUGAGUAGCGAGAUGUGGGUGAGAAUCCCACAGGCCGUAAACCCAAGGUUUCCAGGGGAAGGUUCGUCCGCCCUGGGUUAGUCGGGACCUAAGCUGAGGCCGAAAGGCGUAGGUGAUGGACAACAGGUUGAUAUUCCUGUACUACCGAUAACCGUUUGAGAGAAGGGAUGACACAGUAGGAUAAGCUAAGCACACUGUUGGUUAUGUGUGCCCAAGCAUGGAGGCAGUCAAAGUAGGCAAAUCCGCUUUGAUAAUGCUGGGAUGUGAUGGGGAGCGAAAUUUAGUAGCGAAGUAGCUGAUUUCACACUGUCAAGAAAAGUCUCUAUCGAGGUUAAAGGUACCCGUACCGCAAACCGACACAGGUG